CCUACGGGAGGCUGCAGUGGGGAAUAUUGCACAAUGGGGGAAACCCUGAUGCAGCGACGCCGCGUGAGUGAAGAAGUAUCUCGGUACGUAAAGCUCUAUCAGCAGGGAAGAAAAUGACGGUACCUGACUAAGAAGCCCCGGCUAACUACGUGCCAGCAGCCGCGGUAAUACGUAGGGGGCAAGCGUUAUCCGGAUUUACUGGGUGUAAAGGGAGCGUAGGUGGUUUGGCAAGUUAGUAGCGUAACUCCAAGGCUCAACCUUGGAACUACUACUAAAACUGUUGGACUUGAGUGCAGGAGGGGCAAGCGGAAUUCGUAGUGUAGCGGUGGAAUGCGUAGAUAUUAGGAGGAACACCAGUGGCGAAGGCGGGUUGCUGGACUGUAACUGACACUGAGGCACGAAAGCGUGGGGAGCAAACAGGAUUAGAUACCCUAGUAGUC
This 440-nucleotide ribosomal RNA is filed under the name uncultured bacterium. RNAcentral describes it as "partial 16S ribosomal RNA". It matches the Rfam family "Bacterial small subunit ribosomal RNA", at positions 338 to 795 of the family's 1533-position model. The record is from RNAcentral.